AGGCCUUCCAGCUGCAGCACAGUCCAUGAGUCUCAGUUAGGAUGUGCGUUUUGUGUCCAAACCGAGACUCAUGGACUGUG
Molecule: microRNA precursor, 80 nt
Organism: Electrophorus electricus (electric eel)
Lineage: Eukaryota; Metazoa; Chordata; Actinopteri; Gymnotiformes; Gymnotidae
Source: Ensembl